Long non-coding RNA from Manis pentadactyla (Chinese pangolin), 302 nucleotides. RefSeq lists it as uncharacterized. The transcript has 3 exons. Lineage: Eukaryota; Metazoa; Chordata; Mammalia; Pholidota; Manidae. The record is from RefSeq and is a predicted model, not a curated record.
GGAAAAGCUCCUGGACCUAUAAAAAGCUUAAAAAGAGGGAUGAGGAGGCUAACAGAGAGUGGCUCCUCAAGGAGGCGAGGGCCAUCGUGAAGCAACAGCUGUGGGCCCCCACCAGAUCCCAGGAUAGGAAGAAGCAGGGCAUGGUCCCGUUCCUCGGACUGUUUCUGCGUGACGUGCCCGUAGACCAACUCCCAGAAUAUAAUGAGGACGUGAGUGAGCCCAGAGGGGCACAGGAGGGCAGGAUGGUGAGCUUUAGAGAGGAGAGAGCCCCCAGUGAGCCUGGACCUCUCAGCACUGGGACC